GUUGGUAACAAAAAAGAAAAAAGAAACCAUGCCACCAUUUGGAAAAUCUCAGACAAGGAAAAGUGGGACCGCUAAGGUGGUCUCAUGUGCCACGGGCUCACAUAACCAUUAGACAAAUGUCGCAUUGCACUAGGAAAAGGCCAUUUAGCACUACAGUAGAACAAUUCUUCUCAAAAUUUUGUUGCAAAACCUCUUUUGUUUCUUUUCCAUAGAGAACAUGGGCAUGUACCUUGUUUCUAGAUUGGUGUGCAUGAGGAUUACUUCUCUUUCAUUUUCACUCAGUCACA
Molecule: long non-coding RNA, 287 nt
Filed under: Glycine max (soybean)
Lineage: Eukaryota; Viridiplantae; Streptophyta; Magnoliopsida; Fabales; Fabaceae
Description: long non-coding RNA (GMAX_LNC002581)
Source: RNAcentral